AGAGUUUGAUCCUGGCUCAGAACGUACGCUGGCGGCACGCCUAACACAUGCAAGUCGAACGAAGUAGCAAUACUUAGUGGCAGACGGGUGAGUAACAUGUAGGUAUCUGCCCUUUGGCCUGGAAUAACACGAGGAAACUUGUGCUAAUACCGGAUAAGUCUUUACGGAGAAAGCUUUAUGCACCAUUGGAUGAGCCUGCACUUGAUUAGUUUGUUGGUGGGGUAAUGGCCUACCAAGACUGUGAUCAAUAGCUGAUUUGAGAGGAUGAUCAGCCACAUUGGGACUGAGACACGGCCCAAACUCCUACGGGAGGCAGCAGUGGGGAAUCUUGCACAAUGGAGGAAACUCUGAUGCAGCGAUGCCGCGUGAGUGAAGAAGGCCCUUGGGUUGUAAAGCUCUUUCGUCGGGGAAGAAAAUGACUGUACCCGAAUAAGAAGGUCCGGCUAACUUCGUGCCAGCAGCCGCGGUAAUACGAAGGGACCUAGCGUAGUUCGGAAUUACUGGGCUUAAAGAGUUCGUAGGUGGUUGAAAAAGUUAGUGGUGAAAUCCCAGAGCUUAACUCUGGAACUGCCAUUAAAACUUUUCAGCUAGAGUAUGAUAGAGGAAAGCAGAAUUUCUAGUGUAGAGGUGAAAUUCGUAGAUAUUAGAAAGAAUACCAAUUGCGAAGGCAGUUUUCUGGAUCAUUACUGACACUGAGGAACGAAAGCAUGGGUAGCGAAGAGGAUUAGAUACCCUCGUAGUCCAUGCCGUAAACGAUGUGUGUUAGACGUUGGAAAUUUAUUUUCAGUGUCGCAGCGAAAGCGAUAAACACACCGCCUGGGGAGUACGACCGCAAGGUUAAAACUCAAAUGAAUUGACGGGGACCCGCACAAGUAGUGGAGCAUGUGGUUUAAUUCGAAGAUACGCGCAGAACCUUACCAACACUUGACAUGUUCGUCGCGACUCUAAGAGAUUAGAGUUUUCGGUUCGGCCGGACGAAACACAGGUGCUGCAUGGCUGUCGUCAGCUCGUGUCGUGAGAUGUUGGGUUAAGUCCCGCAACGAGCGCAACCCUCACUUUUAGUUGCCAUCAUUAAGUUGGGCACUCUGAAAGAACUGCCAGUGAUAAGCUGGAGGAAGGUGGGGAUGACGUCAAGUCCUCAUGGCCCUUACGUGUUGGGCUACACACGUGCUACAAUGGUAUCUACAACAGGAAGCAAGACUGCGAAGUUAAGCAAAUCCCUAAAAGAUACCUCAGUUCGGAUUGCACUCUGCAACUCGAGUGCAUGAAGCUGGAAUUACUAGUAAUCGUGGAUCAGCGUGCCACGGUGAAUGCGUUCCCGGGUCUUGUACACACCGCCCGUCACACCAUGGGAGUUGGUUCUACCUUAAGGCAAGGUUUUAAACCCUUGACCACGGUAUAGUCAGCGACUGGGGUGAAGUCGUAACAAGGUAACC
Molecule: ribosomal RNA, 1436 nt
Filed under: uncultured Pelagibacterales bacterium
Lineage: Bacteria; Pseudomonadati; Pseudomonadota; Alphaproteobacteria; Candidatus Pelagibacterales
Description: bacterial SSU rRNA
Rfam family: Bacterial small subunit ribosomal RNA
Source: RNAcentral